CUUUAACCUUUUGGAGACGGCUGUUUUUUUUAACAAGUGAUGGGAUAUAAUUUUCGAUCACAUAUUCUUUGAAAAUUGUGUCAAGAAUCAUCACAAUCAUCAGAAUCAUUCUUAAAUGUCAAAUACUUCAUUCGUGAACAUAUAAAAACGAACCCAGUUCAUCUCAUAGUUUGACGACUCAGACUCCAGUACUCCAUUUAUUGAAUUUAACGAGGAAAUAUAAAAGGAAAUCUGCUGAAUCUUCUAGUUAUUUAAAGCAGAAAGUGUUUACAAAUUUUUAAAACAAUGAUAUCGACACAUGUAUAAAACGUACAAUGGAUGCACAGUUUGGUUAUAUACCAUUUUUCGAAAUUAAAUUUUUUAAACAAUGAUAUCGACACAAGUGUAAAACGAAUACAAUCAGAAAUGAAAUAAAGUAUGAUACUGUUCGAAACAAUCGAUCACACAAAG
Molecule: long non-coding RNA, 450 nt
Organism: Bradysia coprophila
Lineage: Eukaryota; Metazoa; Arthropoda; Insecta; Diptera; Sciaridae
Source: RefSeq, a predicted model, not a curated record